RNAcentral lists this ribosomal RNA (662 nucleotides) under Serratia liquefaciens. RNAcentral describes it as "partial 23S ribosomal RNA". It matches the Rfam family "Bacterial large subunit ribosomal RNA", at positions 1572 to 2213 of the family's 2925-position model. Lineage: Bacteria; Pseudomonadati; Pseudomonadota; Gammaproteobacteria; Enterobacterales; Yersiniaceae. The record is from RNAcentral.
AUGCACUACGGUGCAGAAGUAGUUGAUGCCAAGCUUCCAGGAAAAGCCUCUAAGCAUCAGGUAACACAGAAUCGUACCCCAAACCGACACAGGUGGUCAGGUAGAGAAUACCAAGGCGCUUGAGAGAACUCGGGUGAAGGAACUAGGCAAAAUGGUGCCGUAACUUCGGGAGAAGGCACGCUGGCGCGUAGGUGAAGAGACUUGCUCUCGGAGCUGAAGCCAGUCGCAGAUACCAGCUGGCUGCAACUGUUUAAUAAAAACACAGCACUGUGCAAACACGAAAGUGGACGUAUACGGUGUGACGCCUGCCCGGUGCUGGAAGGUUAAUUGAUGGGGUCAGCCGCAAGGCGAAGCUCUUGAUCGAAGCCCCAGUAAACGGCGGCCGUAACUAUAACGGUCCUAAGGUAGCGAAAUUCCUUGUCGGGUAAGUUCCGACCUGCACGAAUGGCGUAAUGAUGGCCAGGCUGUCUCCACCCGAGACUCAGUGAAAUUGAACUCGCUGUGAAGAUGCAGUGUACCCGCGGCAAGACGGAAAGACCCCGUGAACCUUUACUAUAGCUUGACACUGAACAUUGAGCCUUGAUGUGUAGGAUAGGUGGGAGGCUUUGAAGCGUGGACGCCAGUCUGCGUGGAGCCAACCUUGAAAUACCACCCUUUAAUGU